RNAcentral lists this long non-coding RNA (5427 nucleotides) under Macaca mulatta (Rhesus monkey). RNAcentral describes it as "lncRNA (ENSMMUG00000054270.1)". Lineage: Eukaryota; Metazoa; Chordata; Mammalia; Primates; Cercopithecidae. The record is from RNAcentral.
CCGACUGACUCCACACCAGCUCCCGUGUCCCGGAACCGCCCAUGGGCUCUGACCCUCCGGCACCACUCCCUCUCCACUCAUGGACCCCAGACUCUCAUGCACACCCUGAAGACCCCGUCCCUAAACCCUGGCACAAUCAUAGUUCCUCUCACAAAUGCAAACAUCAAGUUGUUUGCUUCACUCAUGGGAGCUGCUCUCUGCACACGGGGGCUGUGAAGUGGCCUCCAGUUUCCCGUGGGACUGGGCCACGGAGGACGCAUGGAGUUCCUCCUCACUCAGUGAAGAUGCAGUUUCUGCCACCGGGUGUGGCCCCGGAACAGCCGGGCUGCACUGGGUGCUGAGGCCACUGCUGUCAAUGGGGAGAGACCUGCUUUUGCAGGUGGAUCAGAGUUCUGGACUCCUCUGUCAUUUUAUUAGGAAACAGAUUUUGCAGACACUGGGCUGCAGCUCCUGUGCUGAGAACUUUCCAGAAUGUUGGUGGCUCCUGUUCUAUGCCUCGUCCCGGAAGAUGUGGUUUCACUCCAGGUGCUCCAGAAAGGUGGUGCUCUCUACGGAAUGAAGACGGGUGGGCACAAGCGUGGGUCCGGGGCCACCCUCUGUCGUCUGCCGGUGUUUCUCAUCCAGCGGCAUCUGGGAAGGUCUGUGACUGCUGAAAACAUUCUGCGCAUGAGCGUCGGGGAAGGAAAUCCGCCCAGAGGAGGGGCAGGUGCCACCCCAGGCGACAGAGCAGCAAGCUGCAGGGAACGGAGGCAGCAGGUGCCCGGGACACACCGGGGAGGCUGUGGGACCAGCCCGUUCACCCGACAAUUCGAGAAGCACCGUGUCCCCAACACCGGGAAAGGGAAAGGCUCAGGAGCAGCCCAUUCACCCGACAGUUCCAGGAGCACGGUGUCCCCAGGGGCUGCAACGUGGGGGCCUGUGAGCGUCGGGACGGGGUGUGCCCUGCAGACCAAGGUUCUGGGUGUUCACCGCUGCACACCAGCUUUAUCCAGCGAUGGCCGACUCGCAAGGUGUUUGCUUUCUUUCCUCACACAGGCACUUUUAAAACCAGGUUGCACAUCUCCGAGUACACUGACCAGCACCCACCGGAUCUCCGAGUACACCGAACGGCACCGACCGGAUCUCCAAGUACACCGAACACCACCGACUGGAUCUCCGAGUACACCGAACACCACCAACCGGAUCUCCGAGUACACCGAACGGCACCGACCAGAUCUCCGAGUACACCGAACGGCACCGACCGGAUCUCCGAGUACACCGAACGGCACCGACCGGAUCUCCGAGUACACCGAACACCACCGACCGGAUCUCCGAGUACACCGAACACCACCGACCGGAUCUCCGAGUACACCGAACGGCACCGACCGGAUCUCCGAGUACACCGAACGGCACCGACCGGAUCUCCGAGUACACCGAACACCACCGACCGGAUCUCCGAGUACACCGACCGGCACCGACCGGAUCUCCGAGUACACCGAACACCACCGACCGGAUCUCCGAGUACACCGAACGGCACCGACCGGAUCUCCGAGUACACCGAACGGCACCGACCGGAUCUCCGAGUACACCGAACGGCACCGACCGGAUCUCCGAGUACACCGAACGGCACCGACCGGAUCUCUGAGUACACCGAACGGCACCGACCGGAUCUCCGAGUACACCGAACACCACCGACCGGACCUCCAAGUACACUGACCGGAUCUCCGAGUACACUGAAUGGCGCCGGCCAGAUCGCUGUGCUCAGCUCCCCAAAUCCACUUCAUCCCCGGAACGGUGCAACGAUAGGAGGUGUGGGUUAGGUGGGGUCUGAGUCCACCCCCCGUGUCCUGUCCACCUGGAUCCCAGUUGGUCAUUCUGGGUUCUUUAUGGCAUUCAGGGACAUUCCCGCUGCUUACAGCUGCCUCGGGUCUCAGAUAAAUGGCUCUUUCUUUCCUUUGCCUAACAGCUGUGGCUUUACCUAGCCAGCAUAUUUAUGGAGCAUCAAUCAUGAAUGUAAAAUGUGGACAGCUUUCACUGUACAUAUGGUUGUAGAAUAUUGGAGAAAAUAGAAAGUCAGCCAACAGGAAUUAAUGACAGGGCUCCACACAUGAUUUGCAGCUUUCACAAACUAUCAAUUAAGCCACAUGAUGGCUUCAUCCCUGGGCAGAGAUGAAAGCCCCGCAGGUGAGCAGGAGAGAGACGGAGCACGUGGACACCGCCCGUGAGCAGGAGCGAGACGGAGCGCCACGGGACACGUCAGGCUGGGCCACCACCCGUGAAGUCACAGUCACACUUCAGCUGGUGGUACCCACAGUGUGCAGAGGACGCCACACCCUCAGAGCCUCUUUCUGAAUCGUCCUCUCCGGGAAAUAUUUAAAACAAACUGAGCCUGGCACAGGAGGAGAGCUACAAUAGGUUAAAUUUUGGAUACAGAUCCAGCUACUACCAAAACAAAGGAAUUUUUUUCUUCAACUUCCUUAGGCAGCAUCUAAAGAAUCAAAAUCAGAUUCACCUGUUAGGCUGACAAAAAAUUUGUAAGUAAAAAUAGCCAGACACAAAGAGUGUGUGUGUGCACACGCGUGUGUGUUUGUGUGCGUGUUUCUAUACAUGUACACGUGUGUAGACUGUUGAUGGACAUUAAGCCUGUGCAGGCAGAAUUAACUGGAUAAAGUUUUAUUGAAAGCUGAACAUGGGGAUCCACUCGGGAAGAUGCCCACAGAACUAGCAUGUUCUGGGGUCGGCUACAAGGUGGAGCCUUUGUGGGAAAGUUGAGGAGAAGGGAGGGGACUCCUCACACCAGAGGCAUCCUUCUCAUGGGGGGACAGGGCGGAGGGCACAGCCAAUGCAGACAGAUCACACCCUGAGGGCUAAAAUACCUCCUUGCAAGACCAUCAGAAAGCCUCAUGAUUCCGAAACAAACCAGCAAAGCUUCGUGAUUCAGAAGCAAGUCAGCAAAAUGUCAUGACUCAGAAUCAAAUCAACAUUUCGUGGUUCAGAAACAACUCUGUGAAAUUUCAUCGUUCAGAAACAAAUCAGCAACAUUUCAUGGUUCAGAAACAAAUCAGCAACAUUUCAGCGUCAGUGGGCGCAGCACUGAUCAGUGCGUCAAGCUCAUGGUGAGAUUCUCCACUCCAACAGGACGUGCCCGUGAGUCACGGACCUCUCCAAGGCCAGUUAAUUUGGAAGCAGGUUUAUUUUUAAAGUAAACGGCCAAAUGUGACCGAAAGGUUACCAAGAACCCCGCUCUCUGUCUCUCUCUCUCUCAUACACACGCACCAUCUUACAUACUCUGUGAUUCCACUUACAAGAUUUUAUCACCCCAGGCUUGGGCCUGAGUCCCUCAACCCUCUCUGUGUUCUCCCCGAUGCCUCACGCUUGGCCGUCGGGAUUCACUGACAUUACCUAAAGAGAAGCCGCCGCUGAGCAGCCCCCUGACCCGGCGUUUUCCAGCUGGCUCCGCGCAUCUCAGCGUGAGACCCACACGGGAGGCGCCUGUGAGGACUGCAGAGGUGGACACGGGUCCCAACCGCCCCAAGGCUGCCCCAAAGCAUCUCAUGUCAUUGUUAUGUUUUAUGUAUGGGGCAUUCUGAUAGAAAUUCUGUACUGCAAAACUAUCUCCCCACUAAAACCAAACAAACAGGCAGCUUUCGGGGUCUUCGUAACGCCUCCUACCUCACCUCCUAACGCCUCUCACCUCACCUCAUGACGCCUCUCCUCACUGGGUUUCUGGUCUCCUGGGGCGACCUGCAAACCAUGGGUCCUCAGCCUCCUCCUCACUGGUGCCCGGCCCCACAGGCUCUGGGGUUAGGACAGUGCCUGCUGCCUGGUGCUGGUCUGGGAGACCCCCUGGCCAGGGGGCAGGAGCUGCACGGGAGGGCUGAGGGCCAGGAAGUGCCGUGGGGCAGGCAGUGUGGACGCUCUGGGGCAGGGAGCGUGGGUGUCAGCAGGAUGAUUUUGGACACUUUAUUUACACAGACGUCUCGAUUGUACCAUUAGAUGAGUUUGUCAAGUUCCCCUGUAAACACCACCCCAAAUAAAUAAGAUAUGAAAUAUUUCCAGCCCCUACAAUUUCCCCAUGCCCACCCACGCCAGGGCCCUCCCAGCUCUUCCCACAGCGCUGAGUCCCUGUGCAAGAAAGUCCUGCUUCUCCCGGAUCAGAUGGCACGGGAUAGCCUGGCACACAGGCAGCCUGCAGGGCUAGCACGGAUGCUUGUGUCCGAUGUUUUUGCUCCAAGUAUCUUUUGAGAUUCACCCACGAGUUUGUGGACGCCAGAGGUUCAUGCAUUUUCAUUGCCCAGUGGCCUUCCACUGUGUGGUGAGACACAAUUUCUUUAACUGUUUCCUGUGGAGGAACACUGGACAAUUACAGGUGUGGGCUGUUACUGUGAGUGACCCCAUCCAGGACUACGGACACUUCCAGGUGCGGGCCGUUACUGUGAGUGACCCCGCCCAGGGCUAUGGACAAUUCCAGGUGUGGGCUGCUACUGUGAGUGACCCCUUUCCAGAGGGGGGGGAUGGACAAUUCCAGGUGUGGGCUGUUACUGUGAGUGACCCCGCCCAGGGGGGGAUGGACAAUUCCAGGUGUGGGCUGUUACUGUGAGUGACCCCGCCCGGGGGGAUGGACAAUUCCAGGUGUGGGCUGUUACUGUGAGUGACCCCGCCCAGGGCUACAGACAGCUCCAGGUGUGGGCUGUUACUGUGAGUGACCCCGUCCAGGACUACGGACAGCUCCAGGUGUGGGCUGUUACUGUGAGUGACCCCGUCCAGGACUAUGGACAACUCCAGGUGUGGGCUGUUACUGUGAGUGACCCCGUCCAGGACUACGGACAGCUCCAGGUGUGGGCUGUUACUGUGAGUGACCCCGCCCAGGGGGAUGGACAAUUCCAGGUGUGGGCUGUUACUGUGAGUGACCCCGCCCAGGGCUAUGGACAACUCCAGGUGUGGGCUGUUACUGUGAGUGACCCCGUCCAGGACUACGGACAGCUCCAGGUGUGGGCUGUUACAGAUAAAGCCCCUGUGAGCGGCCCUGUCCAGCACGAUUUGUGGAAGACAUGUACAUUUUGCUGGGCACAGGCAGGUGUGCGUAGAGUUGUGGGGCACCUGCCACACUAUGGUCAAAAUGCCUGUGCCUGUGCACCUCCCCCCUGCUGGCGACGUGAAUAUUCCAGACGUUCCAGACCCUCCCGGCACAGGGCGGGCCCAGGCUCUUCACAUCCAGUUAUUUCAACGUCCGUCACGCAGCAUUUUCACGCAGCAUCCCGUUAUGACGUGAAGGUGAAUUUCCCGAUGGCCGAGGACACUGAGCACUUUCGAUCUGCUUGUUGGUCAUUUCUGUAUCACCUUCUGUCUAAUGUCUGUCUUGUCUGCUUUUUUUAAAAGAACUAUUUAUUGAUUUGUAAAGGACCUUUAUAUUUUGAUACACGUCUUUCAGAUUUUAUAUGUGUGCAA